ACGCAAAGUCGGCGCCUCCGCGAAGGGUGACUUGCAAAUAAUUGCGGUAAAUAUCCCGAUCGGUAGUUAGUCAAAUUUUUGGCCGUUUUCUUCGCUUCGCCCUUGACAUUUUUCGACGAGGAUCGGCACUUUUUCGCCAACCGUCCACCUUCCUCGCGUAUAAAAAGAACCUCCGCUGAGAGCAGACCAUCAAAUCUUCUGUGACUUUCGUGCUUAGUGCUUCAACGAUCCUCAAAACACAAUCACCAUGUUCAAGCUGUUGGCUGUCCUUUGCUCCCUCCUGGUUGCGGCUUUCGCUGCCUACAUCCCGGCCGCCCCCGCCUACUACGGCGCCUACCCUUACGCCGCCCCGGUGGCCCGGUCGCCUACCGCUACCCGGCCCCCGUUACCAUGCCCCCAUCGCCGCCCCCGCCUACGUACCCCCAGUCCGCUACGCCCCCUACCCCGCCGUCCCAGCUGUCAGCUACGUCGCCCACAAGUGAAUUGAUACACUUCAAUGAACCAACGCUGGCUGCCUUUAUGCUUCAUGUCAUCACACCCUAGUUACCAUGGUCUCAACUUUUGAAGACCAUCAUCAAACAAUUCAUCUUUCGAGCCAACUUCAAUUUUGUAAAAAUUCAUAAUGCAUCAAAUACAUUUUCAUCUCCUGACUGAAUCAUUUGUUAGUUGUGUUUUUUUCGAAAUGGAUUGGAAGCAUUGAAAGCACCCUAAAAAAAUAACAAUACCUAAACAUUCUGUUUAAGUGAGUACUUCAGAGCAUGAAAAUUACACGUUUAGAAGCUUAUAUGGACCGCGUUAAACAGAAAGGAACCAAGCCACAUCAGCUAUUGCCAAAUUUAAUUGGGCAAUUUAAUAUUUUACAUGAAAACGGUUGUGCAGAUUUUCGUGCAAAUUUCAGUGAAAAUUCUCCUUG
RNAcentral lists this long non-coding RNA (913 nucleotides) under Bemisia tabaci. Its description in RNAcentral is "lncRNA ENSSSA2NGG006753". Lineage: Eukaryota; Metazoa; Arthropoda; Insecta; Hemiptera; Aleyrodidae. The record is from RNAcentral.